UGAGCAAGACUUGGUCAGAAUUCCUGGGC
This 29-nucleotide non-coding RNA is filed under the name Homo sapiens (human). The record is from RNAcentral. Lineage: Eukaryota; Metazoa; Chordata; Mammalia; Primates; Hominidae.